CCACACGUACCCAUCCCGAACACGACCGUUAAGCCCUCUAGCGCCGAUGGUACUUGGACCGCAGGGUCCUGGGAGAGUAGGACGCCGCCAAGC
RNAcentral lists this ribosomal RNA (93 nucleotides) under Paenibacillus amylolyticus. The record is from RNAcentral. RNAcentral also lists the same sequence under 18 other names. Lineage: Bacteria; Bacillati; Bacillota; Bacilli; Caryophanales; Paenibacillaceae.